This 690-nucleotide ribosomal RNA is filed under the name uncultured Bacteroidales bacterium. Its description in RNAcentral is "bacterial SSU rRNA". It matches the Rfam family "Bacterial small subunit ribosomal RNA", at positions 32 to 715 of the family's 1533-position model. Lineage: Bacteria; Pseudomonadati; Bacteroidota; Bacteroidia; Bacteroidales. The record is from RNAcentral.
AACGCUAGCUACAGGCUUAACACAUGCAAGUCGAGGGGCAGCAUUAGGUAGCAAUACUGAGAUGGCGACCGGCGCACGGGUGCGUAACGCGUAUCCAACUUUCCCGUUACUCUGGGAUAGCCUUCCGAAAGGGAGAUUAAUACCGGAUGGUGUUGAAAAUUCGCAUGUUAUUUCAACUAAAGAUUUAUCGGUAACGGAUAGGGAUGCGUGACAUUAGGUAGAUGGCGGGGUAACGGCCCACCAUGCCUACGAUGUCUAGGGGUUCUGAGAGGAAGGUCCCCCACACUGGAACUGAGACACGGUCCAGACUCCUACGGGAGGCAGCAGUGAGGAAUAUUGGUCAAUGGUCGGAAGACUGAACCAGCCAAGUAGCGUGAAGGAUGAAGGUUCUAUGGAUUGUAAACUUCUUUUAUAUAGGAAUAAAACCUCCCACGUGUGGGAGCUUGUAUGUACUAUAUGAAUAAGCAUCGGCUAACUCCGUGCCAGCAGCCGCGGUAAUACGGAGGAUGCGAGCGUUAUCCGGAUUUAUUGGGUUUAAAGGGAGCGUAGACGGGAUGUUAAGUCAGUUGUGAAAGGCUGCGGCUCAACCGCAGCACUGCAGUUGAUACUGGCGUCCUUGAGUGCGGUUGAGGUGUGUGGAAUUCGUGGUGUAGCGGUGAAAUGCUUAGAUAUCACGAAGAACUCCGAUUG